GGGUAUUCUGAAGGUAGUGAGUUGUUUCGAUGAUUGUAGUAACCACUUGUUACUACUCCGUCCCUCCUUCUCACUACUGCACUUGACUAGUCUUAA
Otolemur garnettii (small-eared galago) is the source of this 96-nucleotide unclassified non-coding RNA. It matches the Rfam family "Y RNA". Rfam says of the family: Y RNAs are components of the Ro ribonucleoprotein particle (Ro RNP), in association with Ro60 and La proteins. The Y RNAs and Ro60 and La proteins are well conserved, but the function of the Ro RNP is not known. In humans the RNA component can be one of four small RNAs -- hY1, hY3, hY4 and hY5. Lineage: Eukaryota; Metazoa; Chordata; Mammalia; Primates; Galagidae. The record is from Ensembl.